ACGCCUGGCCGGGAGCCUCCGACGCUCCGGGCCCCUGGGAAGCAGUUGGAGGGUAAACUUCGCGGUCAGUACAUGCGUAAUGCAGGUGAAUGCACUGAAAACCCAAGAAGGGGAGCUCGAGGACGGAAAGCCUUAGCUUACCUAUUUGUGACUACCCAGAAAGCUUUUGACUCUAAGGAGAUAGGAAUGUACAGAUUUUGCUGACGUGACUCUCGCUACUUUAACCGAAGGGAAAACUACGUGGCCCACAUCACAUUUCUAGUACCAUUUAGGUAAUUUCACCUCACAUGCUCUCCCAACUCUCUGCUGAUUGAAAUCCUCUUCCACAAGGCCAGAUUCAAGCUCUUCCUGCUCCUAGGCUCCAAACAUCACUCCUCUGAACAGCCAUUUCCUCGAUUGUCACCCAACAUGUCUUACCAGAUAAACAGGAGCAUGGACAAGAAACAUGACCUCCAUUAGUCAGCCAGUCUUGCUUGUAGCUUUUACCAUGUCUGUGUGUUUGUGGCUCUGUCUGCUGCUGCUGAUAAAUCAUUCUUGCAAGUAAAACGAGUAUUGGCUACCUAGUACCAGGAUGGGCUCCAGUCUGAGUCACAGCCACACCCCCGAGGCCAGAGGAGGUGGACUCUGUUACCAGGAGAAAGUGGAAGAAGUGCUGCACAGAUCCAGGCCCCAUGCCCCAGACCAACCUGCGCCUUCACCCGCCCCUGCUCCCUAACCCGUCCUGUACUCUUUCCCUUCUUCUCCACAUCUCAGGAUGGUGUCACCCAGUAGCUGAAGCCAGAAAUCUGGGAGUCAAGCUGUAUUGUCCCUCUGGCUUACCUCCCCUACGGGAUGAAUCCCCCGGCCCUAGUUCUCUGCCCAUGGACUUCUCACACACCUGUCUGUUCUCUCCAUCCCCCUGCCCCCGCUCUAGGGUAGACCUCAUCAACUGUGUCUGUGCGACCAUGAUAACGGGCCCUCUUUCCCUCAGUUGUGUUUUCCUCUGUUCUAACUUCCACAAUCUGGUGAGAGUAAUUUUUCCAAAAUGAUAGUUGUGUGUCUUCCCUGCUCAAAUUUUUUAAUGGCUCCCCAUCAAGGCCAGCUUCAUAAUUUCCAGGGCCUGGGUCACAAUGUUCAGAAAGCAAGUAAAACAUGCCAUUAAAUAUACUAAAAUAGGACAUUCCCCGACCCUGUGUUUUUUGUAAUCUCUCUUUCAACUUGUCAUGGCAUUUUUAUUUGCCA
Molecule: long non-coding RNA, 1221 nt
Organism: Manis pentadactyla (Chinese pangolin)
Lineage: Eukaryota; Metazoa; Chordata; Mammalia; Pholidota; Manidae
Exons: 4
Source: RefSeq, a predicted model, not a curated record